AGUCCCAGCAGCCAGCUGCUGUAGAAGAGGGGAGGAAACAAGCCAGUGCAAGGGGAGCAAAAGAGAAAAGGAGCCAGGCUGGGCUUCCUGAUCCCACAGCAUCGCAGAGCUCGGGAGGCACAGCUCACAGACACAGGAAACACAGGACUGCUAUUCUGCUCUCCUGCCCACGGUGAUCUGGUGCCAGCUGGUGAACGGUGGGUGAUGGCAUCCCUGCUGCAAGACCAGCUGACCACUGAUCAGGACUUGCUGCUGAUGCAGGAAGGCAUGCCGAUGCGGAAGGUGAGGUCCAAAAGCUGGAAGAAGCUAAGAUACUUCAGACUUCAGAAUGACGGCAUGACAGUCUGGCAUGCACGGCAGGCCAGGGGCAGUGCCAAGCCCAGCUUCUCAAUCUCUGAUGUGGACACAAUACGUAAUGGCCAUGAUUCCGAGUUGCUGCGUAGCCUGGCAGAGGAGCUCCCCCUGGAGCAGGGCUUCACCGUUGUCUUCCAUGGCCGCCGCUCCAACCUGGACCUGGUGGCCAACAGUGUUGAGGAGGCCCAGAUGUGGAUGCGAGGGCUCCAGCUGUUGGUGGAUCUUGUCACCAGCAUGGACCAUCAGGAGCGCCUGGACCAAUGGCUGAGUGACUGGUUUCAACGUGGAGACAAAAAUCAGGAUGGUAAGAUGAGUUUCCAAGAAGUUCAGCGGUUAUUGCACCUAAUGAAUGUGGAGAUGGACCAAGAAUAUGCCUUCAGUCUUUUUCAGGCAGCAGACACGUCCCAGUCUGGAACCCUGGAAGGAGAAGAAUUCGUACAGUUCUAUAAGGCAUUGACUAAACGUGCUGAGGUGCAGGAACUAUUUGAAAGUUUUUCAGCUGAUGGGCAGAAGCUGACUCUGCUGGAAUUUUUGGAUUUCCUCCGAGAGGAGCAGAAGGAGAGAGACUGCACCUCUGAGCUUGCUCUGGAACUCAUUGACCACUAUGAACCUUCAGACAGUGGCAAACUGCGGCAUGUGCUGAGCAUGGAUGGCUUCCUCAGCUACCUCUGCUCUAAGGAUGGAGACAUCUUCAACCCAGCCUGCCUCCCCAUCUAUCAGGAUAUGACUCAACCCCUGAACCACUACUUCAUCUGCUCUUCUCAUAACACCUACCUAGUGGGGGACCAGCUUUGUGGCCAGAGCAGCGUCGAGGGAUAUAUACGGUGCAGUGGUGGUAGAGAAAGGGUCCAACUCAUGAGAGGGACCAUGUAGAAAAGUGAGGGGAGCUGUCAGUGUCUAACAGAUUGGGACAGUGUUGUGGGGGUUUAGGGGCUGAGAAGCCCUGGAUACCAGAGACACUUGGAGGAGAUAUUGAAGACUGGUGGGAGAAUGGUAAUGAAACCCUAUGGGUAAAUGGAACUUCUCUUUCACAAGCUAUGAAACUCUCCUGGAACUCAGAGGCCCUGACAGAUUUAUAUUCAACAAAUUAAUAAACAGAUUGUUAAAUGGAAGGCAAUAGAGAAUAGGAGUUAAAAAUAUAGGUUCUGGAGUCAGACCAUCUGAAAUUAUAUCCUAGCUCCUUCACUUGGUACUCUAGGGCUAAGUAUUUAACUUCUAUACCUCAGUCUCCCCAUCUGUGAAACAGGGAUGGUAACAGUGCCUAUUCUGUCUGGGUUGUUGUGAAGAGACAAUCCAUAUGUCAAUAGCUAAUAAGCAGUUGCUGAUCUUAUUGUGACUAAUCAUGGAUUAGAUUGAAUAGUCAAGAUAUCUUUGUAUUGCCAGCAACUGAACUAGUAGCUUCAAGGGAUACAAAGAUGAGUGGAACAUAUAGUUUCCACCUUAGGAAGUCUAGCUGAGGAAUUAAGGUGUAAAUUUACUGACAGUUUGAAUAACCAGGGUGUUGUAUAGGGAUAUAAAGCCAGAACACCACUGGACACAAUGGCUUAUGCCUGUAAUUCCAGCACUUUGGGAGGCUGAGGCGGGGAGAUCGCUUGAGCCCAAGAGUUCGAGACCAGGCUGGGCAACAUAGUGAGAGCCCAUCUCUACAAAAAAUGCAAAAAUUAGCCAGGCAUGGUGAUGUGUGCUUGUAGUACCAGCUACUCGGGAGGCUGAGGUGGGAGGAUCGCUUAAGCCUGAGAGCUCAAGGCUGCAGUAAGCCAUGUUCACACCACUGCACUCUAGCCUGGGUGACAGAUUUAGACCCUGUCUC
This 2164-nucleotide small RNA is filed under the name Pongo abelii (Sumatran orangutan). RNAcentral describes it as "retained intron". Lineage: Eukaryota; Metazoa; Chordata; Mammalia; Primates; Hominidae. The record is from RNAcentral.